RNAcentral lists this unclassified non-coding RNA (3323 nucleotides) under Owenia fusiformis. Its description in RNAcentral is "misc RNA OFUS_LOCUS25843". Lineage: Eukaryota; Metazoa; Annelida; Polychaeta; Sabellida; Oweniidae. The record is from RNAcentral.
CAAAUCUAUUUCUUAGCAAGUGGUUUUAUUAUUCUGUGAAUACACAUUGAGUACAUGUCCUUGUGGUAUAUGAGUCCGCGGUCCAGGCCGUGAUGACACACGCUUCCGGAAAUAGUGACGUCAUGAUCGUGGAAAAAGUAGUGCGCGUGGGAAUGUCGUAUUGUUAGAGCUGUUAUAAAACUGGUUGUCAAUCAGAAUUCUAAUCAUUCAUUUGAGGAUAAACACCGGAGUAAUCUCGUACUUUGUUGCAGAGCCAAGAGGCAUUAAUCAAACUAUUUAUCGUUAUUGUAACUUCAUAUAAUUUAAAUAUCUAAGCUAGUUCAAACCUUUAAGAAGUGUUUCAGAGAGCAACAUCAGCAUAAAGAUUCAGAAACUCGGACAGCUAACGUGAAGAAGAAAUCAACCAGAUAACUUAAUUUUUAAUUUGAUAUUCGAAAAUAUCAAACAUGCAUCGACUAAACAUUUUACAUCAAGGAUGCGCAUCAAGGACUCCAACACCUUAUUUUUUACAAUGCAUUGUGAUAUGUGCAGCGCUUACGAUCGUAUCUGCUAGUAAUCUAUUUGGGGCCGAUAUAAAAGAAGAAAAGUCGCUAGCAGCCCUCUCAAGUAGUGUGGAUUACCUUUCAAAAUUUGGAUAUCUCCCUCCACUUGACCUGACGAAGGGUGAGCUUAGAACAGAGAAGUCUCUUGUCAGCGCCAUCGAGGUUUUCCAAAGGUUUGCAAACCUUCCCGUCACGGGACAGGUGAACCAACAGACUUUGGACCAAAUGACGAAACCGCGUUGUGGCAUGCCUGACCUUGUCGGCACGUCGGAACAGAUGAAGAGGCGCAAGCGAUAUGCACUGGCGAGGAGUAAAUGGGACAAAACAGAUCUCACAUACAGAUUCCUGAACUACUCACCCGAUCUAGACCGGGAACAGAUCAGGUCUACAAUAGCAAGGGCAUUCAACUAUUGGGCUGAAGUUACUCCACUGACCUUUACAGAAAUAGAAGAUGCAAGCGAAGCAGACAUCUACAUAUCCUUCCGCCGUGGUUACCACGAUGACGGGUACCCAUUCGAUGGUAUUGGUGGUGUGUUGGCCCAUGCUUUUUUCCCAGGCAAUGGGAGGGGAGGAGACACACAUUUUGACGAGGACGAACCAUGGGUCAUUGAUUCCAGUGAUGGUACUGAUUUGUUUUGGGUAGCUGUGCACGAAUUUGGACACGCUCUGGGGCUUGCGCACUCGUCUGUAAGAGGAUCUCUCAUGUACCCCUGGUACCAAGGUCACAAUCCUAACUUUAAACUCCAUGGGGAUGACAUUGGCGGAAUUCAAAAGCUUUAUGGUCCAAACCCCGGCACGCACAGGACAACACCCGCACCUAUGCCUAAAACAGUAAAACCCACCAGAGCCAUCUCAACUGAAGUUCCCUACACGGUCGACGCUACCACGCCAGCUGUAAGAACAACUACGACAAAACGAGCACCUGUAGAGACUAACAAACCCGAUCGCCCUGACCCAUGUAGUACAGACUUCGACGCUGUGGCUAAGAUCAGGGGAGAAGUCUUCAUGUUCAAGGACAAUUAUUUCUGGAGACGUAGUAUCCGUGAUGCGACAGGGGCCAGUUACAACUAUCCAAUUCCCAUAAAGUCGUUCUUCAUUGGUUUACCCGAAGAGUUCCAAAGUGUCGAUGCAGUCUACGAGCAAAGCGAUUAUACAAUUGUGUUUUUCAAAGGUGAUAGGUAUUGGAAGUUUGAUGGCAACUAUCUUAAGCCUAACUUCCCCAAGCAAGGUAGACCACUCGAAGAUUUCGGUCUUCCCUCUUAUCUGACUGCUUUGGACGCCGCUUUCGUAUGGGGAAACAACGGGAAAACAUAUUUCGUCCGAGGAAGGAGAUUUUGGAGGUAUGAUGAAUAUUCUGAGAAAAUCGAAUACACCAAGAGCAUGUCCGGAUGGAAAGGAGUCCCAGUGCCAAUAGAUGCCGCUUUCCAGUUCUGGGAUGGCCGAACCUAUUUCUUCAAGGGAAGGAAGUUUUACCGUUUCGAUGACGAGAAUAUGCGCGUUGAAGAGGGGUAUCCCCAGCCAUCCGGUCCCUUCUGGAUGGAUUGCAGAGAAGCAAGGCCUGGGCAGGUCAGCGCAGCUACAAAGCAACAAAUAUCGCCGUUUAUAACAGUAUUAUCCCUCGUCUCCAUGACAAUCACAUUAAUUUUUACUGGAAUGUUAUAAUACUUAUAUAAUACUGUAAUAAUACAACAGCAUUAAGUAUUUUACAAAUGAUCUUAGUAGAACGCAACUGUGGUUUGUUCACGAACCAGUCGUCAAUGGCAGCCAUGCAUUGGUUACCAUAGUAUCAACUAUCCAAGUAAAUGGAUGUUGCUGUAGCAACCAACCUAGUAUUAAAUUUUUAAAAUAAGGUUGAAAUACUCUCUUUACGCGGGAUAUCAUUUCCUCUAUUCAAUUACACAUCAAUACGACAAAGUGAUGCUUUCGAUAUUGCACAAAUAUACAUUUUUAAGAAGAUCGAGAUGAUAUCCGCCGCUAAAUAAUUGAGGGUUUCUCUGAAAAAUCAUAAGUGCAUGCGUAAUUCCAAUCCUAAAAAGGACACGAGGGGAUGAUUCUCAUUUAACAGGGUCAAUGCGUUUCUAUAGAAGCGUUGUUUUUAAAUCAUGGGGUACUAAAACUACUCCAUAACUUAUGGCUUAGAACGUGCAGUUAAGUCCAAAUGGACUACAGUAUUGUGUAUUGCUUUACUUUACAAAAUACUUAUGGAAUAAUAUAGACCUUAUAUGCUAGACAUAUACUUUGUGAAUAUUCGUAGUAUUUAUAUCAGAAGUUCUCAAUUCUUACCUUAUGCAUUUGUAUCAUUUAAUAUACAAAACUUAUGCUUUGCAAUAUAUAUCUCCUGUAUGCAUCCUUUGUAAAUACGUUUUGAUAUUUAUUUAUUAAUGUAUUAAAUAUGUAUUAAAAUUGUUAAUGUUAUGUGUAAAUUAAAAAUAAAACAUGUUAUAUUUACAUAAGUCACAUAUUAUAUGUAAUGUGUAAGUUUAAAUACACAUAUGUUAUAUGUACAUAAGUCACACCUAUGUUAUGUGUGAAAACAGACAUAUGAAAUGUAUACAUAAAUCACACACAUGUAAUGUGUAAGUUAAAAUACACAAAAUGUGUACACAAAUCAAACGCAUGCAAUGUGUAAGUUAGAAUAAACACAUGUAAUGUGUAGGUUAAAUCUAUUUCUGUAGCCUCUUUAUUAACAUGCAUGAAUAGUGUGACCUUAGUUCUAAACAUGUAUAGAGUUUAUUUUUUAUAAAACCUAUAAUAUAUUAAAUAUAUUUGUUCUUGCAUCAU